This 445-nucleotide ribosomal RNA is filed under the name uncultured bacterium. RNAcentral's name for it is "SSU rRNA". It matches the Rfam family "Bacterial small subunit ribosomal RNA", at positions 26 to 518 of the family's 1533-position model. The record is from RNAcentral.
AGAGCGAACGCUGGCGGCAGGCCUAAUACAUGCAAGUCGAACGGAUCCUUCGGGAUUAGUGGCGGACGGGUGAGUAACACGUGGGAACGUGCCCUUUGGUUCGGAACAACUCAGGGAAACUUGAGCUAAUACCGGAUGUGCCCUUCGGGGGAAAGAUUUAUCGCCAUUGGAGCGGCCCGCGUCUGAUUAGCUAGUUGGUGAGGUAAAGGCUCACCAAGGCUUCGAUCAGUAGCUGGUCUGAGAGGAUGAUCAGCCACACUGGGACUGAGACACGGCCCAGACUCCUACGGGAGGCAGCAGUAGGGAAUCUUGCGCAAUGGGCGAAAGCCUGACGCAGCCAUGCCGCGUGAAUGAUGAAGGUCUUAGGAUUGUAAAAUUCUUUCAGCGGGGACGAUAAUGACGGUACCCGCAGAAGAGCCCCGGCUAACUUCGUGCCAGCAGCCGC